This 170-nucleotide microRNA precursor is filed under the name Xyrichtys novacula (pearly razorfish). The record is from RNAcentral. Lineage: Eukaryota; Metazoa; Chordata; Actinopteri; Labriformes; Labridae.
CUGAGGGAGCAGAGGGAGGAUUUGAAGGAGGAGGAGGAGGAGGAGGAGGAGGGGGCUGACUCGACUUUAAGGACAGGAACUCCUGAGUCCUUUCCUAUCAAACUCCUCCACCAGCCUCCUGUCAGACCUCCUCCUCCUCCUCCUCCUCCUCUCCUCCCUCUGACUUUUCU